This is a non-coding RNA of Vicia faba (fava bean), 279 nucleotides long. The record is from the annotation of a GenBank genome assembly. Lineage: Eukaryota; Viridiplantae; Streptophyta; Magnoliopsida; Fabales; Fabaceae.
AUGAACAAAAAUCAUUCCUCCUUCUCCCUCAAAUGUGAACGAAAUCCUCCUCCUCUUUUUCUGAUUCAUUCGUCGAACAGAGCACCACCACAAACCACCGCAUCUCUGCCUCUCCUUCGUCGUGACAAUACCUCACUGAUCCAACUUCAAAUCUGCUUCUUCGUCGCGGUUUCAACCAUAUCACUCUUCGUUCUCAGGCGAAACGUGAUGAAGAUUGAAGAUGACGAUGAAGCUCUUGCAGAAUUCAGAAGAAGCCAUAAUAAUUUGGUCAGAGUUUGA